AUCAUUACCGAGUGCGGCCCCUUCGGGGUGCCAACCUCCCACCCGUGCUUACGUACCGCGUUGCUUCGGCGGGCCGCCCUAGGCCGCCGGGGGGCCCUGGCGCCCCCGGGCGAGUGCCCGUCGGAGACCCUUCUUCGAACGCUGUCUGAAGACUGCCGUCUGAGUUGGAUAUACAAAUCAAUCAAAACUUUCAACAACGGAUCUCUUGGUUCUGGCAUCGAUGAAGAACGCAGCGAAAUGCGAUAAGUAAUGUGAAUUGCAGAAUUCAGUGAAUCAUCGAAUCUUUGAACGCACAUUGCGCCCCCUGGCAUUCCGGGGGGCAUGCCUGUUCGAGCGUCAUUGCACCACUCAAGCCUCGCUUGGUAUUGGGCGCCGCGGUCUCCCCGCGCGCCCUAAUGUCUGCCGGCUGAGCCGUCCGUCUCUAAGCGUUGUGGUACACAGUCCGCUUGCGAGGCCCGGGCGGUUCGACGCCGUUAAACCCCUUCUUCUAAAGGUUGACCUCGGAUCAGGUACGGAUACCCACUGAACUUAAGCAUAUGAGUAA
This 544-nucleotide ribosomal RNA is filed under the name uncultured Penidiella. RNAcentral describes it as "eukaryotic LSU rRNA". The stretch from base 186 to 339 matches the Rfam family "5.8S ribosomal RNA". The record is from RNAcentral. Lineage: Eukaryota; Fungi; Ascomycota; Dothideomycetes; Capnodiales.